This 300-nucleotide ribosomal RNA is filed under the name uncultured bacterium. Its description in RNAcentral is "bacterial SSU rRNA". It matches the Rfam family "Bacterial small subunit ribosomal RNA", at positions 29 to 358 of the family's 1533-position model. The record is from RNAcentral.
AACGAACGCUGGCGGCAGGCUUAACACAUGCAAGUCGAACGAAGUCUUCGGACUUAGUGGCGCACGGGUGAGUAACACGUGGGAAUAUACCUCUUGGUGGGGAAUAACAUCGGGAAACUGAUGCUAAUACCGCAUACGCCCUUCGGGGAAGAUUUAUCGCCGAGAGAUUAGCCCGCGUCCGAUUAGCUAGUUGGUGAGGUAAUGGCUCACCAAGGCGACGAUCGGUAGCUGGUCUGAGAGGAUGAUCAGCCACACUGGGACUGAGACACGGCCCAGACUCCUACGGGAGGCAGCAGUGGG